ACCAGCCUGGGAAGGGAGCGCCGGGUCCUCGGCCCUGCCACCACCAUCAGCCCUUGAGCUUUGAGCUCAGGUCUAGAGGUGAACAGAGCAGUCACCGGGCGACUCAGACGGGCCAGCGCUCAGGGUCCUUGGAUAUAUGCCUAGAGAAAGGCCAUGCGGAGAGUCCUCGGUGCACAUGGUUCUGAGUUGGUUCCUUUUCCCAUAAUUGCUUUGCUUUUACACAUUGAAGAGGUUUGAACAGGGCUCUCAGUCACCCUGACCACCCAUCGGGUCUGGUGUGGAGCCUGACAGCUGGAGCAGGAAGCCCUGACCCUGCAGACUCGGGUUUCAGUGUUGGUCCUCAGACCCUCGGCAGGGACCCAGAGGAGCUCUGUGUCACCACGUUCGCAGAUUUUUGCAGAUCGGUGGGCCUGGCUCCUGGCUCAUUGCCACGCUCCCCACUCUGUUCAGGACCACUAAAUGUUGAAAUGUGGAUGCAUACUGAAAUAAAGGCAAUUCGUUGUGUU
Molecule: long non-coding RNA, 506 nt
Filed under: Androctonus crassicauda
Lineage: Eukaryota; Metazoa; Arthropoda; Arachnida; Scorpiones; Buthidae
Source: RNAcentral